AGCGUGGAGACAGGUGGUGCAUGGCUGUCGUCAGCUCGUGUCGUGAGAUGUUGGGUUAAGUCCCGCAACGAGCGCAACCCUCACCCCUUGUUGCUACCCGGUAGAGCUGGGCACUCUAGGGGAACUGCCCCGGUCAACGGGGAGGAAGGCGGGGAUGAUGUCAAGUCAUCAUGCCCCUUACGUCCUGGGCUACACACGUGCUACAAUGGCCGGUACAAAGGGAUGCCACACCGCGAGGUAGAGCUAAACCCAAAAAGCCGGUCUAAGUUCAGAUUGGAGUCUGCAACUCGACUCCAUGAAGGAGGAAUCGCUAGUAAUCGCGUAUCAGCACGACGCGGUGAAUACGUUCCCGGGCCUUGUACACACCGCCCGUCACACCACGAAAGCCAGCUGUACUCGAAGUCGCUGAG
This 410-nucleotide ribosomal RNA is filed under the name uncultured Methylomirabilota bacterium. Its description in RNAcentral is "bacterial SSU rRNA". It matches the Rfam family "Bacterial small subunit ribosomal RNA", at positions 1025 to 1434 of the family's 1533-position model. The record is from RNAcentral. Lineage: Bacteria; Methylomirabilota (SeqCode).